CCUACGGGUGGCAGCAGUGAGGAAUAUUGGUCAAUGGGCGCAAGCCUGAUCCAGCCAAGUCGCGUGAAGGAUGAAUGCCCUACGGGUUGUAAACUUCUUUUAUAAAGGAGUAAAGUGAGGCACGUGUGCCUUUUUGUAUGUAUUUUAUGAAUAAGGAUCGGCUAACUCCGUGCCAGCAGCCGCGGUAAUACGGAGGAUCCGAGCGUUAUCCGGAUUUAUUGGGUUUAAAGGGAGCGUAGAUGGGUUGUUAAGUCAGUUGUGAAAGUUUGCGGCUCAACCGUAAAAUUGCAAUUGAUACUGGCAGCCUUGAGUACAGUUGAGGGAGGCAGAAUUCGUGGUGUAGCGGUGAAAUGCGUAGAGAUCACGAAGAAUUCCGAUUGCGAAGGCAGCCUACUAAACUGCCACUGACAUUGAUGCGCGAAAGUGUGGGUAUCAAACAGGAUUAGAUACCCGAGUAGUC
This 460-nucleotide ribosomal RNA is filed under the name uncultured bacterium. RNAcentral's name for it is "partial 16S ribosomal RNA". It matches the Rfam family "Bacterial small subunit ribosomal RNA", at positions 338 to 795 of the family's 1533-position model. The record is from RNAcentral.